RNAcentral lists this ribosomal RNA (468 nucleotides) under uncultured bacterium. Its description in RNAcentral is "partial 16S ribosomal RNA". It matches the Rfam family "Bacterial small subunit ribosomal RNA", at positions 28 to 507 of the family's 1533-position model. The record is from RNAcentral.
GACGAACGCUGGCGGCGUGCUUAACACAUGCAAGUCGAACGGAAAGGCCCUGCUUUUGUGGGGUGCUCGAGUGGCGAACGGGUGAGUAACACGUGAGUAACCUGCCCUUGACUUUGGGAUAACUUCAGGAAACUGGGGCUAAUACCGGAUAGGAGCUCCUGCUGCAUGGUGGGGGUUGGAAAGUUUCGGCGGUUGGGGAUGGACUCGCGGCUUAUCAGCUUGUUGGUGGGGUAGUGGCUUACCAAGGCUUUGACGGGUAGCCGGCCUGAGAGGGUGACCGGCGACAUUGGGACUGAGGUACGGCCCAGACUGCUACGGGAGGCAGCAGUGGGAAAUAUGGCACAAUGGGCGGAAGCGUGAUGCAGCAACGCCGCGUGCGGGAUGACGGCCUUCGGGUUGUAAACAGCUUUCGCCUGUGACGAAGCGUGAGUGACGGUAAUGGGUAAAGAAGCACCGGCUAACUACGUG